UGUGCUGACCAAACCAUGUAGCCUGAAAUUAGGACAGAUUGAACAAAUAUUUUCUUGGCUAAGACUAUACUAUAUUGUCCGGCCCCCCCGACCCCCCAAAAAAGCGAGUUCUUUUCAAUACUAAUGCAGUGCUUCUGACAUGAAAGUAGCCCUGAUUUCAUUCUAAUUCUACAUCCUCCUAUCCAAGCAGGGCAGAAAUCAACUAGUUUGCAAUGCUGCAGUAUCAGCAAGCAUCGUGGGACUGGGAAAAGGUCCUAUACCGGAUACUCAGGCUACAUGCAUACAAGAGAGCUAAGACUUGCUUAAUAAUUACUCAGUGCAAAAUGAACCACUAAAACGGCAUAAAAUGAAGGCCAAAAGUCUAUUUAAGAAUCAACAUCCACCACACAUGCAAAGAAUGCUUGAGAAAUCUUAUGGUCCUAAAAUAACAGGGCCAGACCAAUAGUCAGAUAUCCCAGGCAGGCCAACAUCGAACAGCAUCAAGCUAAGGGGAGCCAAAGAAGCAGCACAUAGACCAGUGUGUUGCUCAGAAAAGUUAACCAGUCCAGACCAGGUUCAGCUACUGCCUUCUAUUGUUACACAGACUCACAGAUGUACACAUAACUCAGAGACCAGUCAAACAUUUAUUAGUGUUGUCCACAGAAUUCAAGCUAUUCUUCCAUCUUUAAAAUGUCCACAGUGAGUUUGUGCACAAAUAUUUUCUAUAAAACUUAAUAUAAUAAAGCAAGUUUUAGUACAUCAGUUCUAGGUGAAGAUUUUACUCAUUUCUGAAACUGACACAUUUUCUU
Molecule: long non-coding RNA, 788 nt
Organism: Myotis davidii
Lineage: Eukaryota; Metazoa; Chordata; Mammalia; Chiroptera; Vespertilionidae
Exons: 2
Source: RefSeq, a predicted model, not a curated record